Molecule: ribosomal RNA, 407 nt
Filed under: uncultured bacterium
Lineage: Bacteria
Description: partial 16S ribosomal RNA
Rfam family: Bacterial small subunit ribosomal RNA
Source: RNAcentral
AUUGAACGCUAGCGGCAUGCCUAACACAUGCAAGUCGAACGGCUUGCCGAACGCGUGCGUGAUGUAUCUGUAUGUGCCCAGUCGCGGGGGAUAAGUACGCGUACGCGAAGCUAAUACUACAUCCUAUUGGUGCGGCAUAUAUCGGAUUAGCUUGUUGGUGGGGUAACGGCUCACCAAGGCGACGAUCCGUAGCUGGUUUGAGAGGACGACCAGCCACACUGGGACUGAGACACGGCCCAGACUCCUACGGGAGGCAGCAGUGGGGAAUUUUGGACAAUGGGGGAAACCCUGAUCCAGCCAUGCCGCGUGUACGAAGAAGGCCUUCGGGUUGUAAAGCACUUUUGGCAGGGAAGCGGUACCUGCAGAAGAAGCACCGGCUAACUACGUGCCAGCAGCCGCGGUAAUUC